GAUGAACGCUGACAGAAUGCUUAACACAUGCAAGUCUACUUGAACUUCGGUUUGGGUGGCGGACGGGUGAGUAACGCGUAAAGAACUUGCCUCACAGUUAGGGACAACAUUUGGAAACGAAUGCUAAUACCUGAUAUUAUGAUUUUAGGGCAUCCUAAAAUUAUGAAAGCUAUAUGCGCUGUGAGAGAGCUUUGCGUCCCAUUAGCUAGUCGGAGAGGUAACGGCUCACCAAGGCGAUGAUGGGUAGCCGGCCUGAGAGGGUGAACGGCCACAAGGGGACUGAGACACGGCCCUU
This 295-nucleotide ribosomal RNA is filed under the name uncultured bacterium. RNAcentral's name for it is "partial 16S ribosomal RNA". It matches the Rfam family "Bacterial small subunit ribosomal RNA", at positions 28 to 334 of the family's 1533-position model. The record is from RNAcentral.